GUAAUUAUGACUACUUAAUUAGACUAUUUUUAAGUUUUGUAACUUGGCACUUGUACUACCCCGAAUCCUUUCAAAGUAAUUUCUAAGACUAUUUUACAGUUUAGCAAAGAAACAAAAACUCCCUCCCUCCCUUAAUCCUUUCAAAAUAAAAGCACAAAUUCAAUUUAUUAGUGCUAUUAGCAAAAUUUCUGCUUCAGACUAGUUAUUAAGACUAUUUAGUAUAGACUCUAAUAGUAAUAUCUGACAGCUGUCUGGGAGAAAUGCAGAAGGACUGACAUUUUAAAUUUUAGAGUGUGACCACAAUCUUUUGUCCUUAAACUAAUGAUUUUCCCACCCUUCAUCUCAAUGAGGACAUCAACUGAAACAGUUUGAUUGACAUGUCAAACUCCUGAUGCUCAGAGUACGUAUAGUACUGAUUAGUUAAUUUCACUGUUGGAUUAUUUAGUAAUUAAGCACACACCUCUAAAUCCUUUCAAAAUUAAAACAUCAAGCCAAAUAACUACCUUUAAUAUCUUGACUAGUUAAUUAUGACUAAUUAAUGAGGACUGUUUUACAGUUUUUAAAUAACCCCAUACACUCCCUCCCUCCAAAUACUUUAAAAAAAGCAUUGUAUUCAAUUUAUUUGCUUUAUUAGAAAACGCUGAGUGCACUUAAGAUUCUUUUUUUUUAAUUUACUUAUUACCUUGUAUGCACAGUUGCUAUAAUUUUGUUGUUAGUUUUAUCCUGUUUUUUACGCACAUACAGAGAAAUAGGAGAUAUUUAACUAUGUCAACUGUGACUAUGAAAUGACUGUUUCUUGUCUCUUCACUUAACAAUCAAAUAUCCGAGUGCAUGUAAACGCCACAUUGGCUUACGUAACACCGGACGUUCGCUUCCGUUACAUUCGGCACUGGUUCCAUUGAGUUGCAUCCAGUCUACACCUCGUUGACUCAGAAGAAUUACGCUCUACACAUCGUUGACUCAGAAGAAAGAAGCAUCCAGUCUACACUUUGUUGUACAUAGGCGCUGUCUCCUCCUGUUUGUCAUUUGUAUUGUUAUAUGUGACUAAAUAACGACUGCAAAGACAACUUUGAAGUGACUUUUCUAUUGAAACCUGUUCCUGGACUUUUCGCCAAUUGGGAAGGUGCGCCCCGGGAGGCCUGAGACUUUUCGCCUUUUCAGGGAAAUGUGCGCCCUGUGAGGCCCCAGACUUUUCGCCUUUUCAGGGAAAUGUGCGCCCUGUGAGGCCCCAGACUUAAGAUUCGUUUAGAUGUGAACGGAGGUUUGAACGCUUGAGAAUUGAACUGAGAAUUGAGCUGGGAAUUGAACUGAGAAUUGAUCUGAGAAUUAAGUGAGAAUUGAGAGAACUUGCUGAUAGAGGUAAGUGAUCACCCUCUGAAGCCUGAAGAAGAACUUGCUGAAAGUUGAAAGGAAGAAGGUUGUAAGUGUAUUGAUUUAAGCAAAGGAGCAAAUAUUUAGUAUAAGUUAAGUAUCAUAGUAUAAGUCUAUUAUAUUUGUAAAUACUUGAAGUGUGAAGUUAUUUCACCAGAUUGUAAAUACUUGUAAUACUUAUUCACAAAAAAGUGUUUAAAUAUAAAUUCCAUAAACUACCUGUUCAAGAUACAUUUGUUUGUUUUCUUGUAGUAUUAUCCUUUGACAAGAACUGAACAUUUUAACUUGUCAAUUGUGUACUAAUUAAACAUAUUUUCAUAAACACUUAAUAAA
Long non-coding RNA from Betta splendens (Siamese fighting fish), 1704 nucleotides. RefSeq lists it as uncharacterized. NCBI's taxonomy places the organism in Eukaryota, Metazoa, Chordata, Actinopteri, Anabantiformes, Osphronemidae. The transcript has 5 exons. The record is from RefSeq and is a predicted model, not a curated record.